UAAUGGAAGCGGAGCUUCUGCUAUCCACCGGAUGAGCGCCCACCUUCUGUUUGUUAACAGUGCGUGGGCUUCACGCGCUGAUAGAACAGUCGUAUUUCGCGCGGUAAAAAGUAGUUUUACCAAUCUUACUAUUUCUACGACCGGUCAUUGUUUGAGAUUAGUUAGAUUACAAUAUCAGGACGUCCAUUUCUCAAAAAUAAAUAAAUAAAAUUUCCAAAAUUCAUCGGAGUCCAUUGCGAUAGAAGAAUUUCAUCCAGAAACCGUAGAUCUGCAACAGCGCCGGUCAAAUUCGAUCCGACUGUUGGUGUUGAAGAAGGAACAACUAUUGAGCUUGACGAAUGAGCAUGGAAAUCGAGAAGAUUGAUAGAAAAAGGCGAUUGUCUAGGGUCGGCUGGAUAUAGAUCAGCGUCCACUGCAUCCCCUCCAUCGGAAGAUCGCAGAACUGCCAAAGCCCCCAUCAAUUUCUAUGCGAUUGUUUGUGUAGCAGGCGGCGCUGAAGAAGGAGAAGAUACCGGGCUUGAGAAAUGAAACAUGGCUUUUCAGAAGAAGUCCAAAUCGAGGUCACCGAUUACCAGAGGAGGGGACGUUCUCCGAGUGAAUUGCAUUAAGAGUCCCCGGCAAGGCUUCAAUAUGAGUCCCUGGCAAGCAUUACAUAUGUGCAACCUAUCAGCGGUUUUGGCGUGGCUAAAUUUUUGGAAUCUGGGGAUGCAAAGUUUAAGCAAGGCGACUUGGUUUGGGGAAUGACUGGCUGGGAAGAGUAGUCUCAUCACUUCCAUUCAGUAUUUGUUAAAGAUUCCCGGCACCUAUGAUUUAUCUUCUUCUUCUUCUUUUUUUGUUUUGCACAGAUAUACUAUACCAUAUAUUUGAUGUACCAUACCUUUUAUUUUGACUAGAAGUGCCUUUGAUUUUUUUA
Molecule: long non-coding RNA, 913 nt
Organism: Rosa rugosa (rugosa rose)
Lineage: Eukaryota; Viridiplantae; Streptophyta; Magnoliopsida; Rosales; Rosaceae
Exons: 2
Source: RefSeq, a predicted model, not a curated record